GGGACAACAGUUGGAAACGACUGCUAAUACCGCAUAAUCCCUGAGGGGGAAAGAUUUAUCGCUUUAAGAUUGGCCCGCGGAAGAUUAGGUAGUUGGUGGGGUAAAGGCCUACCAAGCCGACGAUCUAUAGCUGGUCUGAGAGGACGAACAGCCACAUUGGAACUGAGACACGGUCCAGACUCCUACGGGAGGCAGCAGUGAGGAAUAUUGGGCAAUGGAGGAAACUCUGACCCAGCCAUGCCGCGUGAGUGAAGAAGGUUUUCGAAUUGUAAAGCUCUUUCGGAUGGGACGAUGAUGACGGUACCAUCUAAAGAAGCCCCGGCAAACUUCGUGCCAGCAGCCGCGGUAAUACGAAGGGGGCAAGCGUUGUUCGGAAUUACUGGGCGUAAAGGGUGUGUAGGCGGAUUUGUAAGAUAGUGGUGAAAUACCUGAGCUCAACUUAGGAAUUGCCAUUAUAACUAUAGAUCUGGAGUGACAGAGAGGAUAUUGGAAUACCCAGUGUAGAGGUGAAAUUCGUAGAUAUUGGGUAGAACACCAGUGGCGAAGGCGAGUAUCUGGCUGUCAACUGACGCUGAGGCACGAAAGCAUGGGGAUCAAACAGGAUUAGAUACCCUGGUAGUCCAUGCUGUAAAAGAUGAAUGCUAGUUGUCGGCAAAAGCCGGUGACGCAG
Molecule: ribosomal RNA, 670 nt
Filed under: uncultured bacterium
Lineage: Bacteria
Description: bacterial SSU rRNA
Rfam family: Bacterial small subunit ribosomal RNA
Source: RNAcentral